GAAUAUUGCACAAUGGGGGAAACCCUGAUGCAGCAACGCCGCGUGAGCGAUGAAGGCCUUCGGGUCGUAAAGCUCUGUCCUAAGGGAAGAACAAAUGACGGUACCUUAGGAGGAAGCCCCGGCUAACUACGUGCCAGCCGCCGCGGUAAUACGGAGGGGGCAAGCGUUAUCCGGAAUCACUGGGCGUAAAGGGUGCGUAGGCGGUCGACAAAGUCUGGGGUGAAAGGCUACGGCUCAACCGUAGUAAGCCUUGGAAACUUGUGGACUUGAGUGCAGGAGAGGUAAGUGGAAUUCCUAGUGUAGCGGUGAAAUGCGUAGAUAUUAGGAGGAACACCAGUGGCGAAGGCGACAUACUGGCUCAUUACUGACGCUGAGGCGCGAAAGCGUGGGGAGCAAACAG
RNAcentral lists this ribosomal RNA (400 nucleotides) under uncultured bacterium. RNAcentral's name for it is "bacterial SSU rRNA". It matches the Rfam family "Bacterial small subunit ribosomal RNA", at positions 359 to 775 of the family's 1533-position model. The record is from RNAcentral.